This 253-nucleotide ribosomal RNA is filed under the name uncultured bacterium. Its description in RNAcentral is "partial 16S ribosomal RNA". It matches the Rfam family "Bacterial small subunit ribosomal RNA", at positions 524 to 776 of the family's 1533-position model. The record is from RNAcentral.
UACAGAGGGGGCAAGCGUUGUUCGGAAUUACUGGGCGUAAAGGGCGCGUAGGCGGCCUGCUAAGUCGAACGUGAAAUCCCUGGGCUCAACCCAGGAACUGCGUCCGAUACUGGUUGGCUUGAAUCCGGGAGAGGGACGUGGAAUUCCAGGUGUAGCGGUGAAAUGCGUAGAUAUCGGGAGGAACACCUGAGGCGAAGGCGGGCUACUGGGCCGAUACUGACGCUGAUGCGCGAAAGCCAGGGGAGCAAACGGG